This 381-nucleotide transfer RNA is filed under the name Rosa chinensis. RNAcentral describes it as "sRNA RchiOBHm_Chr5g0038851". The stretch from base 309 to 380 matches the Rfam family "tRNA". Lineage: Eukaryota; Viridiplantae; Streptophyta; Magnoliopsida; Rosales; Rosaceae. The record is from RNAcentral.
UGGGGAUGUAGCUCAAUUGGUAGAGCGAUUACAGAGCAUGUAUUAGAUCUUGGUUCGACUCCUUGCUUCUCCAUCAAAAUUAUUUUUAUUUUUAUUAUUCAACAAGUGAUGACAACAAAAUUUAAAUACAAAUGUGAGUACAUUGAAAUAUUAACUUGGGGAUGUAGCUCAAUUGGUAGAGCAAUUAUAGAACAUGUAUUAGAUCUUGGUUCGACUCCUUGCGCCUCCAUCAAAUUUAUUUUUAUUUUUAUUUAACAAGUGAUGACAAUAAAAGUUUAAAUAUAAAUAGUACACUAAAAUAUCAACUUGGGGAUGUAGCUCAAUUGGUAGAGCGAUUACAAAGCAUGUAUUAGAUCUUGGUUCGACUCCUUGCGUCUCCAU